Molecule: long non-coding RNA, 1983 nt
Organism: Cephus cinctus (wheat stem sawfly)
Lineage: Eukaryota; Metazoa; Arthropoda; Insecta; Hymenoptera; Cephidae
Exons: 6
Source: RefSeq, a predicted model, not a curated record
AAGCGUGUUAUAACAAGAUGCCGUGAAGUUUCUUCUCACUACUACAAGAGUUUACUGGUUUUCAUAUAUUAUGUGCUUUAAAAAUACAAGUAUCGUUAUACCGAAUAAAAUAAUAAUGAUGAUUGACACCGAGAAUCAUACAGUCUAAUAACAAUGAUAUCGAUUCCGUGUUUAACUAUGCUUUAGUACUUUGAAGCUGUUUCUUUUUAAAUGUAUACUUGCCUCAGACGAUAAACUUAAACUUGUGUUUCAUGUGAUAAUUCAAUGCAAAGGUGAAGCUUUUGUUCUAACAUUGUAUCCUGCGUGGUCAUAGAACAAAGAAUUUUCCACGUGCAGUUACAGCAAGUUGCAAGGAUACGCGUGUACCUAUUAUUCAAGGAUUAACUGGCUGUAUGGGGAUAAUGGAGCAACAGUUAAUUUCUGGACGGAAAGCGAGUAACGCUAAUGGCGACUGUGCUGCUCAUAUACGGCGUAUGCAUAAUUUCGUUUAAACGAGGAUGGAUAGUAGCCAAGUUUAAUUGCGGACAUUGAUGAGAGUUCACUGAUCGAGAAACAGAGAAGGCACGUGCUACCGAAUGUUUAGUUUACUAAUUAAUUGUAACGCUGGAAUGAUCCUUCACUCUACUGAUACGACGCUGAUGGGGUAAGGAGACGCGAAGAUAGUUUUACCUGAAUGGGACUACCGGAACAAGUUAUAGAAACGAGGAGGAUUGUCUUCCACUUAGAGUUUCCUCAAGAUCCUCAUUGCUCUAAGUAUCCAGUAAUCUGACUUAAACAAGUCUUCUGGAUACAGUUUGAGAGGAGAAAUUAUAAAGCCACGAUCUACCAGACGCAUUCAAAAUUGUUUCUCUGGUUUGGAUAUCCACUUUCCGCCCGAAACAGACAUUCGCAAGCUAAAUCCACGUAAUCGUCCAACUCCUAAGUUCCCUAUAUCUAAGUUCCAUCUAUGUACAAUAGAUGUUUUGACAGCGUUCUGAAAACUAACCAUUCACAAAUUUCUAGUAUUUCUGGAAAAAAGAAGGUAAAUCUUUGAGGAAGUGAUAAAGGAUACGUAUAGAGUCGAGGAACACCGAUGCAGUUGAAUCUCUUGCGUGGAAGUUCGUUUCCGUCGCGGUGAAAAGUUUUAACGAAGAUACUUCAGCGGUAUUGGAUGCAUGUACCAGGCACUGGAACUUCUUGCGAAUCAAAUGGAUUUCCAUUUCCUUGAGAAAUUUGUCCUUACGAUGGCAUUGCGGCAGGACAGUACAAUUUAUCAAAGACGUAAUAAAGGAAAGCUAUCCUCUCCAGGGGGCAGUGUUACUGCUGGUAAGAGACGACGGCUCCAGUGGUGGGGAUAAAAACAAAGCAGGCGAAACGGAUAAAUUGGAAUUCCCUUGGGUAGGAAACAUGGAGUAACCUGCUUCCACCUUAUGUCUCAUUACGAACUGCCUGAGGUUCCUAAUGCACCUCGUUUAUCUGCCCUGCACUUCUUUUCCUUUCUACCUCGCUAACCACUUCUUCUGCUUUGUUCUACUUUUAUUAUUUUCACUGUCCCCAGUAAUGACAGUGGACACUGCUGAGGUUGGUUUGAUAUCUCUCUUGAAUUACCUUUGGGGUAUUGGCUGCCUUAAUACUAUUUUACUAUUGGUUGUAAAGUCACGUCAAUUUGUUCUAUACCUUGCUCAGAGUUCAGGAUACAUUUAAUAUCUUGUUUCAUGACAAUUCACUUGCAUUUAGUUUCACGAGAAUUCACUGGCUUCUACAGACAAAGGUACAGCAAGCUGGAGGAUUUUCGUUUAUGAAUAUUCCAGAAUUCUCACGUAGUGAAAACUACUUGCAAGUCGAUUCUUCAAGUAAGUUAUGGGGAGUACGGUAUAGGUACCUUUAGAGUUCGAUUUGAGAACUACCUUAUGAAAUCACGUGCCGUGUUACCUACAACUAAAAACUUGCAACCAAGAUGGCGGCUAUUGUGAAGAAUCUGAAAUUUAAAAGUUGAAACGCUUG